CGGCGGACGGGUGAGUAAUGUCUGGGAAACUGCCCGAUGGAGGGGGGUAACUACUGGAAACGGUAGCUAAUACCGCAUAACGUCGCAAGACCAAAGAGGGGACCUUCGGGCCUCUUGCCAUCGGAUGUGCCCAGAUGGGAUUAGCUAGUAGGUGGGGUAACGGCUCACCUAGGCGACGAUCCCUAGCUGGUCUGAGAGGAUGACCAGCCACACUGGAACUGAGACACGGUCCAG
RNAcentral lists this ribosomal RNA (234 nucleotides) under uncultured bacterium. RNAcentral's name for it is "partial 16S ribosomal RNA". It matches the Rfam family "Bacterial small subunit ribosomal RNA", at positions 96 to 334 of the family's 1533-position model. The record is from RNAcentral.